This 242-nucleotide ribosomal RNA is filed under the name uncultured bacterium. RNAcentral describes it as "partial 16S ribosomal RNA". It matches the Rfam family "Bacterial small subunit ribosomal RNA", at positions 63 to 334 of the family's 1533-position model. The record is from RNAcentral.
CGAACGCAGUAGCAAUACUGCGUGGCGCACGGGUGAGUAACGCGUGGGAAUAUGCCCUUUAGUUCGGAAUAACCAAGGGAAACUUUGGCUAAUACCGGAUACGCCCUUCGGGGAAAGAUUUAUCGCUAAAGGAUUAGCCCGCGUGAGAUUAGGUAGUUGGUGGGGUAAUGGCCUACCAAGCCUACGAUCUCUAGCUGGUCUGAGAGGAUGACCAGCCACACUGGAACUGAGACACGGUCCAG